UUUCUAAGGAAGAUGU
Molecule: ribosomal RNA, 16 nt
Filed under: Candidatus Liberibacter asiaticus
Lineage: Bacteria; Pseudomonadati; Pseudomonadota; Alphaproteobacteria; Hyphomicrobiales; Rhizobiaceae
Description: partial 16S ribosomal RNA
Source: RNAcentral